Molecule: long non-coding RNA, 4747 nt
Filed under: Homo sapiens (human)
Lineage: Eukaryota; Metazoa; Chordata; Mammalia; Primates; Hominidae
Description: long non-coding RNA NONHSAT200672.1
Source: RNAcentral
CUCAUCUGUUGAAAUCGAAUCUCCAAUGUUUUGCCUUUAAGAGGUGGGGCUGUUGGGUCAUGAGGGCAGAACCCUCGUGAAUGGGAAUAAUCCCGCCAUAAAAGAGGCCUGAGGGAGUUUGCUUGCCCCUUUCCUCCUUCCACCAUGUGAGAAUGCAGCAAGAAGGUGCCCUGUAUGAAGCAGAGGGCCCUCACCAGGCACCGAAUCCGGUGGCACCUUGAUGUUGAACUUCUCGGCCUUCAGAACUGAAGUUUUGUGGCCAUGGGGAUGCUGACAAAGAUUGCUUGGGAUGCACACAAGGCAGCGGCGAAGCCUGAGGGGUGCUGCCAGGCCGGGCUCUCCACUGGCCACGAAUUUGUACAUAUGGCUUUGGAAACCUCAUCCAACACUAAGUAAUGAACAUACAUGAGGAUACUAUGUAUUUUUCAACCUGCAAGCCCAAGAUUUCAAAUUCUUUGGUUUAUCGCAGAGAACACAUCUCUCAAAUUGUCUUCAAGGAGCACUGCAGGAGAAAGUCCUGGCAACUUGGCGCAGCGAAUUUGAUCAGCACCAUACGUACGACCUGUCUCAGGAACGGUGCCAUGUGUGUGACUAGGACUGCAAAGCAGCUUGUGUUCGUGGGGGAAAUGACAGGCACAGGAAGGAAAAGCUGAGAACACUGAAACGGUUCCUAAUCGUGCAGUGGGGAAAGGAGGGCGACUGCCGCGCAGAGUGGCACGUUGGCUGGAAGAGGGGAUUGAUCAGCAGUGCUGGCAGGAACAGCAUAGGCUUGUCGUGUGAUCUAACAGAAGAGGCAGCAAUCUGGAGGCGCCCCAGAUCAGAGAAGAGACAUCAAGCCCCAGGAGAAAUGGAUUUCCUUUCUCCCCACCCAUCAGCUGGGUAGGAAGCCCGAAGGAGCCUUUCAUGGAACUAUGGGAAGGGCUCCUCUGACGCAGAGGGGAUGAACUGGAAGCAAGAUGCUGACUGUUUCCAAAGGCUUGACAGUCAGAAGCAGGCAGGCUUCAGCCUAUUGAGAUACUUUACCCAAGAGGAUUUCCGCUUAGGUUCUGUCUUGAAAGAAAUAUUCGCUCCCAAAUUUCCUCCCAUCAAGAGUGCUUCUCCCUACAGAAGGCUAAGGCUCACAGGUUGUCCCCAGGGACACAUUUCUUUCAAGUAGGAUGACUGGUAUGUUUAGACUGAAAAGCUGAUUUACUGGAAGAUUGCUAUCACCCCCUGGCCUACCAUGUCGUUGGUGUGGCCAGUGUUUAUCAGACAGUGGUGUUUCCAGCUUAGGCCUGAAUGGAAGAAGAAACUGAAAGAAGAAAUAAAAAGAGAGAUGCGCCGGGCAUGGUGGCUCAUGCCUGUAAUCCCAGUGCUUUGGGAGGCCGAGGUGGCAGACCACUUGAGGUCAGGAGUUCAAGACCAGCCUGGCCAACAUGGUGAAACCCCGUCCCUACUAAAAAUACAAAAAAUUAGCUGGGUGUGGUGGCGUGUGCCUGUGGUCCCAGCUACUCCGGAGGCUGAGGCAGGAGAAUUGCUUGAACCCGGGAGGCGGAGGUUGCAGUGAGCCAAGAUUGUACCACUGCACUCCAGCCUGGGCAACAGAGUGAUACUCUCUCAAACAAGACAAAACAAACAAAAAAGAGGAGGCUCGGCACGGUGGCUCACGCCUGUAAUCCCACCACUUUGGUAGGCUGAGGCUGGCAUAUCACUUGAGGUUGGGAGUUCGAGACCAGCCUGACCAAUAUGGAGAAACCCCAUCUCUACUAAAAAUGCAAAAUCAGCCAGGUGUGGUGGCGCAUGCCUGUAAUCCCAGCUACUCAGAAGGUUGAGGCAGGAGAAUCGCUUGAACCCGGGAGGCAGAGGUUGCGGUGAGCCAAGAUCACGCCAUUUUACUCCAGCCUAGGCAACAAGAGCAAAACUCCAUCUCAAAAAAAAAAAAAAAAAAAUGGAGAGAGAGAUGUUUCUCAGCUUUGGGAAAUGCUGACUUUUCCAGCACACCUUUGCUCAGAAAAGCCCUAUGAUAUAAAGUGUCAUAGGAACCUUGUCCUUGGAACCAAGCCUAGCCUAGGCUCAGGGACAUCAUGUGGGAGUGACAUAAAGGAGGCUCCUCUGUCACUGUGCUUGGGUUACAAGUAAUUCUCGACAUGGGAGCAUGUUGAUUUCUAACCAUCGGUGGCGGAGCUGUGACUUCCCAAGCUGGUGGCUGACCUCAAGAGGACUAUUAUAGACACUGUGGGACCACGGCCUGAGAAAAGAAUGGCUACCUCCCUCUCUAUCCCAUGACCUCUAACGGCCCGGUCACCACCAUGGCCUUUUGUUCCUGGAGAGGGACAGGAACUUUGGAAAGUGGGGUCGCUCUAUUGCUUCUGCAGGUCAUCUUCCCAGACUUGCCUAAGCCUCAGAAUCUCAGUCUUCUGCUCUGUUUUGCACGUCUUUUUUGAAAGGUUUUUAAAAAUUACAAUCUACUGUACAGAAGAAAAUAAUACACAGAAAAUAAUUUUAGAAAAUAAUACAACAGAUAUCUAAGUAUCCACCACCCAGAUUGGACAACAUAUUAACAUUUUGCCCCAUCUAUAUCAGAUAUUAUUUAUUUUCUUUUUUACUUAUUUUUGAGACAGAAUCUCGCUCUGUCGCCCAGGCUGGAGCGCAGUGGUGUGAUCUCAGCUCACUGCAACCUCUGCCUCCCAGGUUCAAGCGAUUCUCCUGCCUCAGCCUCCCGAGUAGCUGGGACUAGUGGUGUGCACCACCAUGCCCAGCUAACUUUUGUAUUUUUAGUAGAGACAGGGUUUCACCAUGUUGGCCAGGAUGGUCUCGAUCUCUUGAUCUCGUGAUCCGCCCGCCUCAGCCUUCUACAGUGCUGGGAUUACAGGCAUGAGCCACCUCGCCCAGCCUAUUUUUAUUUUUUUUAAGACAUGGUCUUGCUCUGUCACCCAGGCUGGAGUGCAGUGGCACGAUCUUGGUUCACUGUGGCCUUGACCUUCCAGGUGCAAGCAAUCCUCCCAUCUCAGCCUCCUGUGUAGCUGGGACUACAGGAGCAUACUGCCACACUUGGCUGAUUAAAACAUUUUUUCUUUCUGCAGAGACAGGGUCUUACCAUGUUGCCUAGGCUGGUCUUGAACUCCUGGGCUCAAGUGAUUCCCCUGCCUCCGGCUCCCAAAGUAAUGGGAUUACAGGCAUGAGCCAGCAUGCCCAGCCUAUAUCAGAUUUUUUUAAAAUUGCAGAUAGAAUUAAAAACUUGCUUAUCUAUUUUUAGUAGAGGGAAAAACCUAAAUAAGUUUAAUUCUAGUAAGUUGCUGACUCUACACAACAACUUCCUUUCAGUCUUCAGAUAAUGGAAACUUUGUGGAUUUAUGCACAGCACCCAAACCCCAGAGAUCUGCCCCAACAGAAAGAUUGCCAACAAAAUGUUUGUCUUAAUACUUGAACAAAUUUUUCUCAAACUUACAUUGUAUAUUUUUCUCCACCAGUUUGCUAAAUGUCCACAAGGUUAAUACCCGCCCAGCCAAAUGAAAAGACCACUGGGAUCAGGUGCGGUGGCUCACACCUGUUAUCUGUUCCAGCUACUUGGGGAGGCUGAGGUGGGAGGAUCGCUGUAGCCUGGGAAAUCGAGGCCGCAGUGAGCUAUGAUCAAGCCACUGCACUCCAGCCUGGCCAACAGCGCAAGAGCCUGCUCUAAAAAAUCAAAAUAAAAAAAAAAAGAGCAUUGGGUCUCCAAAGGUAACAGGUGUGAAAUACACCUUAGCCUACUCAGAAUUUUGCCCCAUGAAAUAAGUAAGGAUUAUUAAAUAUUUCUGGAAACUCAAACAACUCUUUAAACAAUGUUCACAAUUUUUCAAUGUCCACAUCAGCCAAACCCACGGAAAGCUAAGCAUUAAUUCACCUACUGUUGGAGAGGCUAGACUAUUUAAGGAAUCUCUCCUGAAUUCUAGUCCUGAAUUUCCAAUGCAACUCGUGUCCACUAGAAUGUUCUGUGAAUGUUUCAAGCUUGAAACGCCUGCAGCCAAACUUGUUUUCUUUCCAUCCAAUUAUAUCCUCUUUCCAAUGUUCCCCUUUUUUCAUUAAAGGCACCACUAUUCUUCCAGCCAUCCUGAUUCACAGCCUCAGAGCUGGCCUCAAUUUCCUUGUCUCCUUCGUCUUCCACAUCCAAUUAUUCACUAAAUCCUGUUGAAUUUUUCUCAAAAUAUUUCUUGCACCUGUUUACUCCAUUCUGCUCCCACUGCCACCUUUCUAAUGAAGUAUUUUCCACCUGUGUGUUUCGGCUCCUGCAGCAGAUUCUGCAUCUCCCCUUUCUCCUUUCAAUGAAUUAUCAGUAUCAGAUUAAUCUGCUGAAAGAAGCACUGUGUGCCAUCCUGCUCAACAUAAUUCAGUGAUUCCCAGAUGGCUUACCAAAUAACAGCUUUUAAAAAAAUCCAGAACCUUCAGUGAUCUUCACGAUCUUUAUAUGUCCACCUUCCUAGACACAUCCCACAUUAGGAACCCAUUGAAACCUCUGCCCCAGGCGCAUGGCACUACUGGCUUGCUAAUUCUGAUUCCUGUUCAAGUAUUUCUUUGGCCUAAGUAUUCCUUCCCCUCCUUCACUACAUGAACCAAUCUUCAUGGUGCUUAAUAUGAACCAGAUCAUCUGGUGGGCCUCUAAUACAACAGUGAACAAGACAGAAACAACCCCUGCCUCCAUAUACUCCUUACAGCCUAGUGGAGAAAACAAAAGAUGAACUGGCAGUUGGCAUGCCAGGCUGUGCAGGAAGAACUGUGACAAGGAAAGACA